Molecule: long non-coding RNA, 1199 nt
Filed under: Theobroma cacao (cacao)
Lineage: Eukaryota; Viridiplantae; Streptophyta; Magnoliopsida; Malvales; Malvaceae
Description: long non-coding RNA (TCAC_LNC001437)
Source: RNAcentral
GAACAACGGAGCAAAAGCCUUUGAGAACUAACUAUAACUAAAGUUGGUAGGCACUAAUCUUUUAAACUUCCAAUGAUCAGCAAAAAUAUUCUCUAACAAUCAUCCAAUAACAUUUUCAGCAUCUUUUAUAUAACAAUUGAUUAUGAGAAUUAACACUUACCUAAAAAUACAUCAAUACAAAGUGAGAGAUGUCUUUCAAAUUGUGACCAAUACCAAAUCUGUUUCUGUUUAACAAAAACUUAUCCUAGUUUUAUGAUUUUUUGCAUAGAUCUUGAUUGGAAUUAUCAUGAAGUAAAGAUAAACCAGUGAAAUGUGUCAGCAACGGCAAGGGUCAGGCAUUUAAAAUAUUAUAUUACACUUCUUCUAUUGAACCUUUAACAAGUCGUUGAAGUUUCCUAGAAAAAACCAAUGUUGCCAUCCUCCUUUUCCCCCUUUUUAAUGUGGAUCAUAGGUAAAGAGUAAGAAGUAAAAACUAGAAUAACUGGUCUAGUGACGGUAAAUGCAAGAAUAUGGAGACUCAGGGAUUAGCUAGAUAGACAAGAAUAUUCCUACAAGACUUAACUGAAGUAUCAGUUCAAAAGUUCAUGAGUGAUAACAGAAUUCCCAGACAAAUUCUAGAUAACAAAAUGUUUCUUAAAGAGUUCCAAGAAGAUGAAUUUAGGUGCUCUUCCUGGACAACAUUUGGGUUUCAAAUUUUUUAUAGGCAUGAGUUUUAUUUCUAUAGGGAGUGUCUACUUGGCUAUAGAACAGGUUGGUCUCAUGGCUUACCGCUUGCUUGGAAACCAAGUAGGAAUGUGGGAUGAGGUUUCAUUGCAAAUGAGUGAAGUAGAAUGGAGGAGUGCUACAGGGGAGAAUUGGAACACGCCCUGAAGUGCAGAAUGCUCUGGUAGGUGGAAAAGGUGGGAAGUAAAAUCAGUAGGAUGAUAGGAAGAAUGCUCUGGUAGGUGGAAAAGGUGGGAAGUAAAAUCAGUAGGAUGAUAGGAAGCGUGAAGUAGAAACUUGGAAGCAAGAGGCAGAGGAGAGGAAUGUAUAGGCCAAGGGGUGUAGUUAAUGUCUCCAAGAGGAAGAUGCCAGCUCAAUUUUAUCACCAAAGUGGGUUGAAGCAUUAUAAAGCUGAUAGGGUCCAUAAGUCAUUUCAGGCCAUAGCAAAUACUAAUAAUCAUGACUAGGAAGGAAGAGGACAGAAAGGAAAAAAAAAA